UCUUGAAGAUAACAAUAACUCAAGAUUUGAAUUGCCAUAGUUUGAAAAUGUUUGCAUAGAAUAUGGAAUGGCAAUUGGUUGGAAAGAGAUUUGAACAAGGAAGGUUGGAAACUUCCUCCUUUUCUUUCUUUUCCCUUUCUUGUCUUUCCUCUUCUUGUUCUCUUCUCUCUUUUUCUUCUCUCUUUCUCUUCUCUUCUUCUCUCCUCUCUUCUCUUCUUAUUCCCUCUCUUCUCUCUUCUUCUUCUCUUCUUUUCUGUUCUUCUCUCUCUUUCUUUUCUUCUUCUCUCCUCUCUUCUCUUCUCCUUUCCUCUUGUAUUCUCUCUUUUUUUCUCUUUCUCUCUUCUUAUCCUUGAUCUCUUUAAGUUUUGCCCCAAAUUCUAACUCUCUCCUAAGAAACCCAUGAUCACUUAAACUCCUAAGAAACAUUUUUCCAUUUUCAAUACAAUCUUUAAUUAGUUCUAGGUUUCUUUUAAUGCUUGAAGGCACAAACUUUCUUCUCA
RNAcentral lists this long non-coding RNA (500 nucleotides) under Vigna radiata. Its description in RNAcentral is "long non-coding RNA (VRAD_LNC011658)". Lineage: Eukaryota; Viridiplantae; Streptophyta; Magnoliopsida; Fabales; Fabaceae. The record is from RNAcentral.